GACUCGGUGGCGGAUGGUUCGCGUCUGCGGGACAUUCUGAUCCUUCUGAUCUUUCAGUAGCAGUCGCCCGUUCGAUUCGGGCCCGAGUCA
Mycena epipterygia is the source of this 90-nucleotide non-coding RNA. Lineage: Eukaryota; Fungi; Basidiomycota; Agaricomycetes; Agaricales; Mycenaceae. The record is from the annotation of a GenBank genome assembly.